This 842-nucleotide long non-coding RNA is filed under the name Ananas comosus (pineapple). RNAcentral's name for it is "long non-coding RNA (ACOM_LNC035248)". Lineage: Eukaryota; Viridiplantae; Streptophyta; Magnoliopsida; Poales; Bromeliaceae. The record is from RNAcentral.
AACUAUACGCGGAUUAUUGAUGCAAUUUGGAAUUUUCUCUUCGCAGCAGGUCUUCGAGUCUCGUUGAGCUGAACUUGUACUCUUAGAAGCUGGUUUGGAAGGUAUUCUAACCUGAGGUAAGCAGGGAUUUCAGUUAGAAAACUGAAUUCGCAAGAUUCCGACUAUAUUUGCUAAUAUAUGAUGAUUUUGAUGUCGUGUUGGUGUUGUUCGCAGCGAGAGGGUGUUUGACCCUUGGACCGCCUUCGUUUGGCCUUGGAGGGCCUUCUGGAAGCUUAACGUGAGGUAUUAAGCUAAGCCAAAACAGGGAUUUAAGCUAUUCCAAUGUACGAAGUGUAAUUGCGCCGAAAUUGGCCUUUUCGAUCGUAAUUUUGAUACGAUAUGUAUGCUUCGUGCUCAGCAGGAUUGCGACCUAGUGGAGCUGAUCUUUGGAACUCCUUGGACUGUUUUGGAGCCUAGUACUAGGUGGGUCGGACCUAACCAGAGCAAGUGAAGCUCCCCUAUGUUCUAUAUGUAUUAUAGACGUGGUUUAAUUAUAUGCCUAUGUGAUGGUUAAGGGACUCGGAUUUCGUCAUCAUGACGUUUAUCUUAUGUGAAAUGAGUGUUCAUGCAUAAAAGUGUUCAUGCAUUAAGGCAAUCUUGUUUAAUUCAGUAGAACAAUUAGGAGAUCAGUUUAUUAUGUUUCUAUGAUAUAGAGAACAUAUAUACAUGAAAGUAUUUCCAUUUACAUUCAAUUCAGUUGAAUGACUUAUGAAUAAGUGUAGGAUGCACUUUAAAGUAGAGAACAAUGACAUUCUCUUGACUCUAAUGUAGAGAACUAUGACAUGCUCAUGAUUAUGUUGAUA